GACAGGAAACGCUGAAUCGUGCCUCCAUUGAAAAGCUAUUUUGAGGCUGACAGGAUCAGAGGGCACUGCUGCGGAGCCCAUGCAGCGCCAGUCCAUGGACAAAUCUGUCUCAUCUCUAGAAUAUAGACCUGCCUUUAUCGACUAGGGAAUCAAACAUGCAACGCUAUUCUUCUUUGCCUUGGUAUACAGUAGAAGCCCUGACUGAGAUGUAUGGACAGAACCCUAACUGGUUGUGGUCGAACGGGGAGCCUCUACGCCACCAAGGGCACCUGGGCAGACUUGGCUCAGCAACCCCGAGGCAAUGGGAGGAUGAGGAAGAAGGAAAAGAGGAAGAACAUGCCAUUUGGACCAGGGAUCAUCCAGCAAUCUGUUGCUAUACUACAAAUGGCCAUGGCCUCACCCAAAGUGUGUUCAGAACCACUGGGGCUGGGCUGGUACCGAAGGUCCCUUUGGCCCUGUCCACACAGACCUAGUUAGCAUCCAAAGCCAGAGUGACACAGGGCUAGAUGCCCCUGAAAUGUGGAUGGAUGUCCCCCCACACCAGCCUUCCUUGAGUGGGGCUGAUGGAGAAGAAUCAUCCCAGCGUUGUUUAAACAGUCAAUGGGGGAGCCACAGGACAGAGGGCCAUGGCUGUGCUUGUGUGCAUGGACCAAGUGAACCAGGAAGAUGUUGCCACAGUUGUGCUGGUUCCCCUCUCUUCAAUUUCAGAAUGAGGAAGACAAUAAUGGUAGGAGUCGAGGUGGAAAUAGUGGAGGAAGUAGCCUAUGAGGACACAGAGACACUUGAAGUAAUAUCAGGAGUCUAUCCAAAGUAUUUGAUGGAAAAACCAUAUUGCUGCACGAUGACCAGCUUUUCCUCACCUAAACCUGCAUUCCUUCAAAAGUUGUUUGCAAGGGAACGUUCUGUGUUUUUAAAUGUCAGCCUUGUCGUUUGAAUGUAUUUUAAACGUAUUUAAAUGUAGUUUAAAUAUUACAAUUGAUUUUAAAUACCAUUUAAAGGCCUUUUAUAUGUCAGUGUUAUGUAAGUGAUGUUACUUUAAUUUUAAAAAACAUUUACCCAAUAAAAUAAGAAAACCUUU
Oncorhynchus gorbuscha (pink salmon) is the source of this 1078-nucleotide long non-coding RNA. RefSeq lists it as uncharacterized. NCBI's taxonomy places the organism in Eukaryota, Metazoa, Chordata, Actinopteri, Salmoniformes, Salmonidae. The transcript has 4 exons. The record is from RefSeq and is a predicted model, not a curated record.